This 207-nucleotide ribosomal RNA is filed under the name uncultured bacterium. RNAcentral describes it as "partial 16S ribosomal RNA". It matches the Rfam family "Bacterial small subunit ribosomal RNA", at positions 568 to 774 of the family's 1533-position model. The record is from RNAcentral.
CUCGUAGGCGGUUCGUCGCGUCCGGUGUGAAAGUCCAUCGCUUAACGGUGGAUCUGCGCCGGGUACGGGCGGGCUGGAGCGCGGUAGGGGAGACUGGAAUUCCCGGUGUAACGGUGGAAUGCGUAGAUAUUGGGAAGAACACCAGUGGCGAAGGCGGCUUUCUGGACUGUAACUGACGCUGAGGCUCGAAAGCUAGGGUAGCGAACG